CUAGGAAGCUGUAAAUCAAACAUCAAGGCCCAGAUCUCUGUUGCAACAUGAAUAUUACUAAGUUUUUAAGUUAGUUCUGUGGAACCUGAAACUACAGAGGCCAGCUAGAAAGGGAGUAAUUUCCAAGGGAACACUUGUUCCUACCAAGCAGUCUAAGUGACAUCUGCAAGCAUGACAUGCAGACACAGCAGUUCCUGUUUCCUGCAGAAUCUGAGCACUCACAUCUAAUUGCAGCCGAGGUUGACUGAGGACAUUCAAAAGAGAAGAGAGUAUUUUGCAUUGUAAGGCUGUUGGAUUUUUCUUUUAUUUAUGUGGCAUCUCUCAAAAAACCUUCUGUGUGACACUUGGAAGCAACCCACAGGGAAACAAUGCGGGAUGCAAGAAUAUGUUUUUAUAUGUACACAUAUACAUAUAUAUAUAUAUGCACACACAUAUAUAAUAGAAAGCACAAUUCAGCAUAGCAAGGAUAAGAUGUGUAAAGACAUGGGGCUGAGAAGAUAUAAAUGAUCAUUCCUGAGGCUGUAGUUCACACGUUAAUAAUCCUGGUGUACCCUUAGAUCUGAGGCUAACAGACUAACUGUGCAUCUUGGGUGUUUUUGGGUGGGGAGUGUUAUGUGCCUAGGGAUGAUCGAGUAUCUGGAAUGAUUUGCAAAUCAGCUCUUUAUGAUGUGUGCAGGAUAGUAAUGCCUCUGAGUACUAGCGACUCAAAAAUGCAGAGCAGCGAACAAAGCGAUCUAAAAUGCCAGGAGGAAAGAAUUUUCUCAGUGGCCUACAGAUGGCAGGCCGAUAUAACAGAUGAGUGAUGUCCUUGAAGCCUGUUUCCCUGAAUAUUAGAAACAUAGUACACCCUAUUUAUGCAGGUUUUCACGGAGAAAGAAGUUUUAACUGGGUCACUCUAAAAUGCAACCACUUUUGCACUACUUCAGAAUAUGUUCAAAGUCUUUUGCUUUGUGCUGUAAGCGGUGUUCAAAAUUCAGCCCAAAAGCUCUCAACUAGAAUUGUUUUAAGUGUUAUGAACUUACCUAAAGAUUUUGAUAAUUGACUCCAAGUUCUCAAAAAUUAGUGUGUACAGGAGGAUACUUGGGUUUACUUGUAUGUAGUUCAUGUCUUCAAAUUACUCCACUUUCUUAAAGAAUGUUGCAAUUGAUUUUGCUGACACCUUGUAUGUUUUUGCAUAAAUCUGGAUUAGCUUUUUUUUUCUGUAGAAGACACCAACAGAUAAAACUUAUGGUUGACUUUUUUGACUCAUUUAAUAUAAAAUAAAAAUUCCUUCAGAAGAUUUUGGUCUGGAAGAGAGGAGGAACCAUAGACACAGUAAAGCUUUUGUUUCUCUUCCUCUUGAGCACUGAGCUUUAGUGUAUGAUUUGAUACUCUCCUGUAUCUUUAGCUCAUAAAAGCACUAAUUCCAGAAGGGAAAACAAAAUAGCAGUCAGCCUUUUCCUUCACUUGGAGAAAAAGAAGUUAUUUAGAGGGUUAAAAAAUGAGAAAAUGUGGCUUCUACUAGUCUUCUUGUUCAAUGAAUAUCUAACAGAAAAGACAUCUUAAACACUGUAAUCUUUCAAGUGUUUUGUAUUUGCUAUAUAAAACAUUAUUAAAAAGGAGUUGGAAAAAGAAAGCUGUUGCAGGUCAUACCCUUUCCAUAUUGUUUGUAAAAUGGCUAAUGGUUAGAAAAUCAAACUUGCUAUACUUCACUCUGUUUGUCUUCUUUUUUUUAUGACUGUAGAUUGAAAUAGGCAUAUUUAAAAUAUUGUGAAGUAUGGAAGUGAUUACAACCUGCCGCUUAAGGCACGACUCAGGAAAUUGAAGAACAGGGGCUUAAAAGUAGUCCCCAAACAAUGGGCUUAACAGAAUUUCACAAGAAACGCUUCGACAACUUUUUUUUAAACCAGAAAAUACUCGGUUUCAACUGAGGGACUGGAAAAUAUGUUGCUAUAUUCUUGAACUGUUUUCUAUUAUGGAAAUCAAACAAGCUUUCGUGACGGAUUACUCUUCAGGCAAGGAGAAAGGAAUGCUUGUGGAGGCCGCACACAGGUCUGUGCUCUGUGCCCUGCCCUGCUGCUGUAGCUAAGCCUGUCUGAACUGUCUUCUAAUCCACAAGCAUAAUUCUGGCUAUUAAAAUAUCCAGUAUUUUAACUCCUCAAUCUAAUUCAUUUGUGCAAUAUAUAUUUAAUAUAUGAAGUGGCAAGAGAAUUGUUUUUUUCUGAGCUGCCAUUGUGUUGUGAAACCACAGCAGCGUGGAAUCAUGGUCUGCCCUGGCAUUCUCUGCAUUAUCAGUCGUGUAUAUGUUGGAGUGGGAAAAGAAUAAAUUUCCUGGUAUAUUAACUUCA
Molecule: long non-coding RNA, 2327 nt
Organism: Taeniopygia guttata (zebra finch)
Lineage: Eukaryota; Metazoa; Chordata; Aves; Passeriformes; Estrildidae
Source: Ensembl